AAUACCCGCUGAACUUAAGCAUAUCAAUAAGCGGAGGAAAAGAAACCAACAGGGAUUGCCCUAGUAACGGCGAGUGAAGCGGCAACAGCUCAAAUUUGAAAUCUGGCUCUUUUAGAGUCCGAGUUGUAAUUUGCAGAGGGCGCUUUGGCUUUGGCAGCGGUCCAAGUUCCUUGGAACAGGACGUCACAGAGGGUGAGAAUCCCGUACGUGGUCGCUGGCUAUUGCCGUGUAAAGCCCCUUCGACGAGUCGAGUUGUUUGGGAAUGCAGCUCUAAAUGGGAGGUACAUUUCUUCUAAAGCUAAAUAUUGGCCAGAGACCGAUAGCGCACAAGUAGAGUGAUCGAAAGAUGAAAAGCACUUUGGAAAGAGAGUCAAACAGCACGUGAAAUUGUUGAAAGGGAAGCGCUUGCAGCCAGACUUGCUUACAGUUGCUCAUCCGGGUUUCUACCCGGUGCACUCUUCUGUAGGCAGGCCAGCAUCAGUUUGGGCGGUAGGAUAAAGGUCUCUGUCACGUACCUCCUUUCGGGGAGGCCUUAUAGGGGAGACGACAUACUACCAGCCUGGACUGAGGUCCGCGCAUCUGCUAGGAUGCUGGCGUAAUGGCUGUAAGCGGCCCGUCUUGAAACACGGACCAAGGAGUCUAACAUCUAUGCGAGUGUUUGGGUGUCAAGCCCGAGCGCGUAAUGAAAGUGAACGGAGGUGGGAACCCGCAAGGGUGCACCAUCGACCGAUCCUGAUGUCUUCGGAAGGAUUUGAGUAAGAGCAUGGCUGUUGGGACCCGAAAGAUGGUGAACUAUGCUUGAAUAGGGUGAAGCCAGAGGAAACUCUGGUGGAGGCUCGCAGCGGUUCUGACGUGCAAAUCGAUCGUCAAAUUUGGGCAUAGGGGCGAAAGACUAAUCGAACUAUCUAGUAGCUGGUUCCUGCCGA
This 926-nucleotide ribosomal RNA is filed under the name Alternaria alternata. Its description in RNAcentral is "eukaryotic LSU rRNA". It matches the Rfam family "Eukaryotic large subunit ribosomal RNA", at positions 20 to 964 of the family's 3401-position model. The record is from RNAcentral. Lineage: Eukaryota; Fungi; Ascomycota; Dothideomycetes; Pleosporales; Pleosporaceae.